UGAGGAAUAUUGGUCAAUGGUCGGAAGACUGAACCAGCCAAGUAGCGUGAAGGAUGAAGGUUCUAUGGAUUGUAAACUUCUUUUAUACGGGAAUAAAGCCCGCUACGUGUAGCGGUUUGUAUGUACCGUAUGAAUAAGCAUCGGCUAACUCCGUGCCAGCAGCCGCGGUAAUACGGAGGAUGCGAGCGUUAUCCGGAUUUAUUGGGUUUAAAGGGAGCGUAGACGGGAGAUUAAGUCAGCUGUGAAAGUUUGGGGCUCAACCUUAAAAUUGCAGUUGAUACUGGUUUCCUUGAGUGCGGUUGAGGUGUGUGGAAUUCGUGGUGUAGCGGUGAAAUGCUUAGAUAUCACGAAGAACUCCGAUUGCGAAGGCAGCACACUAAUCCGCAACUGACGUUGAGGCUCGAAAGUGUGGGUAUCAAACAGG
Molecule: ribosomal RNA, 424 nt
Filed under: uncultured prokaryote
Also listed under: 1 other name
Description: bacterial SSU rRNA
Rfam family: Bacterial small subunit ribosomal RNA
Source: RNAcentral